GCUCUGUGGACAAGAGAGGAAUUCCAGUUCGGACCAAGAGGAACCAGAACCUCUGCAGAUAAAAGAAGAGCAGAAAGAACCAGAACAUCCCUGGACAAAAGAGGAAACAAUGGAGCUCCCCAUAAGUGAGCAGGAAGAGCAGCUUGUUCUGAAUUUUACUAAACAAUGUAGUUUCACUAAUCACAUGAGAAUUCACACUGGUGAGAAGCCAUUUCCCUGCACGAUUUGUGGCAAACGUUUUAGUGUUAAACAUCAUUUGACUGGACACAUGAAAAUUCACACUGGUGAGAAGCCUUUUUCCUGCAUGAUUUGUGGCAAACGUUUUCCUUUAAAACAUUGUUUGACUGGACAUAUGAGAAUUCACACUGGUGAGAGGCCCUUUGAAUGUCUAUCCUGUGGAAAAAGCUUCACCUCCAAGUCAGAUCUUGUUAAUCACAUGAGAAUUCACACUGGUGAGAAGCCUUUUUCCUGUACCAUUUGUAACAAGAAUUUUACUAAAAAAAGUAGUUUGACUGCUCACCUCAGAAUUCACACAGGUGAGAAGCCUUUUUCCUGUACCAUUUGUAACAAGAAUUUUACUGAAAAGGGAAAUUUGACUAUUCACAUGAGAAUUCACACUGGUGAGAAGCCAUUUCCCUGCACGAUUUGUGGCAAACGUUUUAGUGUUAAACAUCAUUUGACUGGACACAGGAAAAUUCACACUGGUGAGAAGAUUUAUGGAUGUCUGUCCUGUGGAAAAAUGUUCACAAGGAAAUCUAAUCUUGUUAGACACAUCAGAAUUCACACAGGUGAGAAGCCUUUUUCAUGCAAGAUUUGAGGCAACCGUUUUACUCUAAAAAGGUAAUUUGACUAGAGAGACACGUGAGAAUUCACACGUAUGAGAGGCUGUUUUCCUGAAUGAUUUAAAACAAAGGUUUUAAACAAGAGGGUAAUUUGAGUAGUUAGAUUACAAUAUUCAUGCAUGAUGUGGAAUGAUUUAUUAAAAAAAUAAAUUGCAAUACAUAAGUCAUAGCAGUUAGUGGUCACAGGAAUUAACAGUUGAGGCGUUUUCUUGACUAGUGAUGAAAUGUCCAUCUAGAAACUCCUUCACCUCAUAACAUGAAAAACUCAAAGGUUAAUGGUCUUUUUGGAGCAAAGUUUUGAGAGAACCAAUUAAUGAAGAGCUCUUUUCACAUAAAAACUAGAACAGAUAAGCUGUUAUACUGUAAACCUGGUAAAUAUUAAGGUCCUGGUUGAAUAUGGAUGUGAAAAUUUGAAAGUUAAUUAUUUUGGGCUACCCUAACAAAAAAAAAGUUUUUACAUUCAAAAUGUCUUACAUUUUCUGUAAUUAGGGAAUAAUCAUAAUAAAGUGCAACAAAAUUAUCUUGGUUACAGAUGAAGCAAGUUUUGUGUCCAUACAACAAGCCAUUGAGAAGUUAUAGUUUAAGUUUAAAUUGGAAAGAAUCCAGACGGACCCAUACUGUGCCAUUUUGGCAUGGUGUGGCACAACUUUUUCUGAAUGAAUUUAUUCA
Molecule: long non-coding RNA, 1511 nt
Organism: Cyprinodon tularosa
Lineage: Eukaryota; Metazoa; Chordata; Actinopteri; Cyprinodontiformes; Cyprinodontidae
Exons: 2
Source: RefSeq, a predicted model, not a curated record